Molecule: RNA transcript, 1420 nt
Organism: Rhododendron vialii
Lineage: Eukaryota; Viridiplantae; Streptophyta; Magnoliopsida; Ericales; Ericaceae
Exons: 4
Source: RefSeq, a predicted model, not a curated record
AAUUUAAGACACAUUAACCCUAAAUCCAAGCCUUUGCAGCUAGCUAGGCUAACGCCGCACCAACUUACGCCUACCACGACAAUAUUCUGGAACCCAAUCUCGUACUUCGGGGGGUUCCGAUUAAAGUCGGAAAACUUCCUUCCAGCAUGGACAAGGACGAGAACCCCAAAGACCCAAGCCUUCGCCACGGGCUAACCUUGGCGGUUAACUGAUGGUCAGUUUUGCAAGUAAGCUCUGGUCUUUUCCAAAGGAUGGUUGAAUCGUCGUCUAGUCUUGCUUGCUCUCAUAUUCACACACACACACACACACAGAGAGAAGAGAGAGAGAGAGAGAGAGAGAGAGAGAGAGAGAGAGAGAGAGACGAUGACGACGGCUACCAAAUCAAACUCCUAUUCAAUGCCCUCCGAGAAUCAAGUAUGAAUGUUAAAUGCUUCCUCGAUUCUACCUCGAUCCACGAAAUCAAGUUUUUCGGGCUCUAAACAAGUUGUUGGGGGUAAACUUUCCUGCUGCAAAUCAAGCUUAGACUUCAGAGUUGAUAACACAAGACAGAUUCAACACACCAUCAUUACAUCCUUAUCGUCUGGCUAUUUGGUGAAAAAUAUGAUAAGGAAGAGAAAGAUACAGACCAGGCAUAGAGGCAGCCUUUCUCCUCUUUCCGCUUGUUGACAUGAUCCAUGUAUGACAUACCCUGACCUCCUGGAGCAUCCAUAUCUCUCUCUCUCUAUGUGGUUUGAUGAAAAGACAGAGUGAAGUACUCUUUGCAGUGGCUAAAAACUCUCUGUUUUGACUCAGAUGCAAAUGGAAUAGAGAACUGCAGUUUCCUUUAUAGAGGGUUGAGGUGAAGGGGAAUAUCUUAAUGCUUAAUAUACCAUCCACUGAUGCAAAUGGAAAGAGGGAACUGCACUUUCAUUUAUAGAGGGUGGAGGUGACUGGCAAUGUCUUAUUGCUUAAGAUUCCACUGGUAAUUGGCCACUCUCUGACUCUCACCCACUUUGAUUAACGUUGUAUAUAUAAAUGUCUCCAUGUGCAACACUGUCUCUCUCCUCGCACUCUCACUGAGGAAACCGAAUAUGAUAAAUAUACUCAAACAAUUUCUUAGAGAAAGUUUAAAUGAUGUACCAACCCCCAAAAUUUUGUUGAUAAGUACAAGUACAAGAUAGGCCGAGAUACAAGUGAGAUUAAAACUUUUACUAUCACAGGUAUAAUUUUUUUUCCCAGGGUACUGGUUACUUGCAAAACCUUGGAUGGCUCUCUCUCUCAGGAGGCAUUAUGAUACAAUGUUUGGUCUUCCACAAAGUCUUCCUUCGAUGGUUGUUGAGGCCGGCAACGCCAAAAUGGUUGUAGGAAAAAAUUGGAAAACACAAUUCAUAGAUACAAUGUAAUAAACUUAAUACUUAACCAAAAAAAAAUGUAAAAAUCU